This 482-nucleotide ribosomal RNA is filed under the name uncultured bacterium. RNAcentral describes it as "partial 16S ribosomal RNA". It matches the Rfam family "Bacterial small subunit ribosomal RNA", at positions 30 to 507 of the family's 1533-position model. The record is from RNAcentral.
AUUGAACGCUGGCGGCAUGCCUUACACAUGCAAGUCGAACGGUAACAGGUCUUCGGAUGCUGACGAGUGGCGAACGGGUGCGUAAUACAUCGGAACGUGCCCGAUCGUGGGGGAUAACGAGGCGAAAGCUUUGCUAAUACCGCAUACGAUCUACGGAUGAAAGCGGGGGAUCUUCGGACCUCGCGCGGACGGAGCGGCCGAUGGCAGAUUAGGUAGUUGGUGGGAUAAAAGCUUACCAAGCCGACGAUCUGUAGCUGGUCUGAGAGGAUGAUCAGCCACACUGGGACUGAGACACGGCCCAGACUCCUACGGGAGGCAGCAGUGGGGAAUUUUGGACAAUGGGCGAAAGCCUGAUCCAGCUAUGCCGCGUGCAGGAUGAAGGCCUUCGGGUUGUAAACUGCUUUUGUACGGAACGAAAAGCCUCUUUCUAAUAAAGAGGGGUCAUGACGGUACCGUAAGAAUAAGCACCGGCUAACUACGUG